UGCCAGCAGCCGCGGUAAUACGAAGGUGGCGAGCGUUACUCGGAAUCACUGGGCGUAAAGCGUACGUAGGCGGCCAAUCAAGUUGGAUGUGAAAUCCCACAGCUUAACUGUAGAACUGCCAUUGAUACUGUUGUUCUUGAGUACAGUUGAGGUAGGCGGAAUGUGUCAUGUAGCGGUGAAAUGCUUAGAUAUGACACAGAACACCGAUUGCGAAGGCAGCUUACUAAACUAUUACUGACGCUCAGGCACGAAAGCGUGGGGAGCAAACAGGAUUAGAUA
This 279-nucleotide ribosomal RNA is filed under the name uncultured bacterium. RNAcentral's name for it is "partial 16S ribosomal RNA". It matches the Rfam family "Bacterial small subunit ribosomal RNA", at positions 506 to 784 of the family's 1533-position model. The record is from RNAcentral.